AUUGUGAGAAAUCCUUUAGCUGGUGU
RNAcentral lists this non-coding RNA (26 nucleotides) under Homo sapiens (human). The record is from RNAcentral. Lineage: Eukaryota; Metazoa; Chordata; Mammalia; Primates; Hominidae.